Molecule: ribosomal RNA, 402 nt
Filed under: uncultured bacterium
Lineage: Bacteria
Description: bacterial SSU rRNA
Rfam family: Bacterial small subunit ribosomal RNA
Source: RNAcentral
UGGGGAAUAUUGGACAAUGGGGGAAACCCUGAUCCAGCAAUGCCGCGUGAGUGAAGAAGGCCUUAGGGUUGUAAAGCUCUUUCGCCCGCGAAGAUAAUGACGGUAGCGGGAGAAGAAGCCCCGGCUAACUACGUGCCAGCAGCCGCGGUAAUACGUAGGGGGCAAGCGUUGUCCGGAUUUACUGGGUGUAAAGGGCGCGCAGGCGGAAUGGAAAGUCAGUGGUGAAAUCCUACAGCUUAACUGUAGAACUGCCUUUGAUACUUUCAUUUUUGAGUACGGGAGAGAGAGACGGAAUUCCAGGUGUAGUGGUGAAAUACGUAGAUAUCUGGAAGAACACCAGUUGCGAAGGCGGUCUCUUGGUCCGAUACUGACGCUGAGGCGCGAAAGCGUGGGGAGCAAACA